Molecule: long non-coding RNA, 517 nt
Organism: Rhodamnia argentea
Lineage: Eukaryota; Viridiplantae; Streptophyta; Magnoliopsida; Myrtales; Myrtaceae
Exons: 2
Source: RefSeq, a predicted model, not a curated record
AAAGGAUCCCUUGUCCUGUAAAACUUUGAGAACUAACUCCUUGUCCAGGUCAUUUCUAUCCAGAGGGUCAGGAAAAAUCCCCGGCCGACAAUCAGAACCAUCUGUACCAUUGUGUGCUCGGUGAUCAAGAUCGAGCCUGAGCCUGGGUGAUGAUUAGAACUGGCUUUAACCAACUGCAAGUGCGCUGGAGAGGUGCAGCUCCUGCGGUGCCGGCCCUUCCUUCUGUACUUCUCUUCCGAGAUCAGCGCUUUUAUCCUGGCUUUCACGGAGACCUUGGCUGCCGGACUGAAUUCUCUCUUCUUCUGGUCAGCCGUAAAUUUCCAGAUCUUUCAGUAGCUUUCGAGGAAGACAAGACAUGCAAUUACCGAGAUCCAUUCGAACUCACCUGCGAGCUUUCGCCAUCGGCAUUGGUGUACUCCGGUGAUCUGUCAGUAUGAUGGGCAUUCAUACUGCUCUCAGUACUUCCAUUGCCUAACCAAAAAGGAUGAUGGUCAUGAUAUUGUUCGAAUCUUUCUAU